Molecule: ribosomal RNA, 252 nt
Filed under: Clostridium cadaveris
Lineage: Bacteria; Bacillati; Bacillota; Clostridia; Eubacteriales; Clostridiaceae
Description: partial 23S ribosomal RNA
Rfam family: Bacterial large subunit ribosomal RNA
Source: RNAcentral
UCCUUAGUACGAGAGGACCGGGAUGGACUGACCUCUGGUGCACCAGUUGUUCCGCCAGGAGCAUAGCUGGGUAGCUAAGUCGGGAAGGGAUAAACGCUGAAAGCAUCUAAGCGUGAAGCCCCCCUCAAGAUGAGAUUUCCCAUAACGUAAGUUAGUAAGACCCCUUGAAGAACACAAGGUAGAUAGGUGAGAGGUGUAAGUGCAGCAAUGUAUUCAGCUGACUCAUACUAAUAGGUCGAGGACUUAAUCAAA